Molecule: long non-coding RNA, 1487 nt
Filed under: Amborella trichopoda
Lineage: Eukaryota; Viridiplantae; Streptophyta; Magnoliopsida; Amborellales; Amborellaceae
Description: long non-coding RNA (ATRI_LNC003019)
Source: RNAcentral
AACAUAAGAAAUAUGCUAUGUCCUUACAAUCAUCACCAAGUUUUACAUGAAAUUAUUCACCGAAUCACUUAACUUCGGCACAGUACAACAAGCCUCUAAAUAUACACAAGUACUAAAUACAUUCAGUGUACGCCACGGUGCCUGUAUAGUUUCUAGCAAUACGCAAUCACCUCACCAACUUGUCCAGUGGCUGAGCAGCUGCUAUCUUAUCCAGUGAAGCCAAAGUGGCAGAAUGGUGUACAAUACCAUACAUGCCUUUUUUCAAGAACUUGAGUGGCCAAUAUUGGAAUGAAAAUCUUUGGAUUUACCUAGUGUUCAAAAACCCUCAACUUGGCCAAAAUAUUCGGGGCCUGAUCGAGGCGAGUUAUUCUUGAUUUUAUAAAACAGCGUUUGGGCAGUUGGUCUUAUCCUUUGUAUCCAACAGUGAACUUUAGGGAAGAGAGAGGGAGACUUGAGGAGAAAUAAUGGAAAUUGUUGGUCUUUUCGGAGAGGAAAAAUAACCAAGUUUUCGUGCCAAUCUAACUGGGCCAAUUUUUUUUACAGAAAAGCAAGGCAUCUCUCUUUUGUCGGAUCAGAGACGGGAGAGUUGAGAACCGAUUGGGAAGUAAGAGACAAGAAUUGGGGCUCCUCCCUUUUUCUUGUUGGACUUGGAGUCCCUUUUGCUUGGUUUUGAAGAUUGGUUUUGUUUGGAAUCCUCCAUACUCUUGGAUGAUGAAGAAACUCUAGCAGAUGAGGAGGAACUGCCAAAACAACUGAAAACACUAAACAGGCCCAUGGCCAGUGUGUAUCUUGUUCUGUGACAUUUUCCUCACCAAGAUGUACUUCUUAUAUGGUGGGUCUUUGUAAGUGUAGACAAAAGGGCAUAUUGAAAAAGACCUUUGACAAGAGACAGAGAGGACCCCAAUCAAUUACUUGGAGAGCAAGAUUCAUUUGUUAUAACACACAUGUAAUAUAUGAUGGUUGUAUGUAAGAAUAACAAAGACACAAAGCAAGAGCAGGUAGGAACACUGUGCACUUAGUCCUUAGGUCAAAAGACUAUUUUUAAUCUCCCAUUGUGAGGUCCACUUUCUUGUUUUCAAAAGGUAAAAUGUCAUUUAAAGGUUCAAAUUGUGUCACAAAAUUAUUAAAGGGCUCAUGAGAUCACAUUUACCAUUUUUAGGGUUUGGAAACUUGUAUAAUUUGGUCAAUUAUGAAAAUUUCCCAAGAUGUUUAUGGUCGGGAAAUUUUGAAAGGACCAAGAUCUAUGAAAACUUAAAAAUCUUGAAAAUUGAUGGUCCAAAAAUAUGUUACAAGAUGCACUAUUUCUAAAACUUAAAAUCCAUUUUUUCUCAUGUCUAUGAAUCUGGAUAUCAACAUGAUCAAUUUAAAGAUAUUUAGCAUCAAAAGAACCUCUUCUAGUGAAAUUUUUGAGGUGAGGUGGGCUUUAAUUUGAUUGUUUAGAGCCUCGGCUCUAUAUAAACUUUUUUCAAAAGAAAAUGGCCAUGGUG